CAGCAGCCGCGGGAAUACAGAGGGUGCGAGCGUUAAUCGGAUUUACUGGGCGUAAAGCGUGCGUAGGCGGCUUUUUAAGUCGGAUGUGAAAUCCCUGAGCUUAACUUAGGAAUUGCAUUCGAUACUGGGAAGCUAGAGUAUGGGAGAGGAUGGUAGAAUUCCAGGUGUAGCGGUGAAAUGCGUAGAGAUCUGGAGGAAUACCGAUGGCGAAGGCAGCCAUCUGGCCUAAUACUUACGCUGAGGUACGAAAGCAUGGGGAGCAAACAGGAUUAGAGACCCCUGUAGUCCCUGUCUCUUAUAC
Molecule: ribosomal RNA, 301 nt
Filed under: uncultured bacterium
Lineage: Bacteria
Description: partial 16S ribosomal RNA
Rfam family: Bacterial small subunit ribosomal RNA
Source: RNAcentral